Molecule: ribosomal RNA, 617 nt
Filed under: uncultured bacterium
Lineage: Bacteria
Description: bacterial SSU rRNA
Rfam family: Bacterial small subunit ribosomal RNA
Source: RNAcentral
AUUGAACGCUGGCGGCGUGCCUAACACAUGCAAGUCGAGCGGUAACAGGUGUAGCAAUACAUGCUGACGAGCGGCGAACGGGUGAGUAAUGCUUUGGAAUCUUCCCAGUAGUGGGGAAUAACCAGUCGAAAGAUUGGCUAAUACCGCAUACGUCUGUAAAGGGAAAGCGGGGGCUCGUAAGACCUCGCGCUAUUGGAUGAGCCAAAGUCGGAUUAGCUAGUUGGUGGGGUAAUGGCCUACCAAGGCGACAAUCCGUAGCUGGUCUGAGAGGACGACCAGCCACACCGGAACUGAGACACGGUCCGGACUCCUACGGGAGGCAGCAGUGGGGAAUAUUGGACAAUGGGGGAAACCCUGAUCCAGCGACGCCGCGUGUGUGAAGAAGGCCUGCGGGUUGUAAAGCACUUUUAGUGGGGACAAAAAGCUACGGAUUAAUACUCUGUGGUCUUGAUUUAACCCAAAGAAAAAGCACCGGCUAACUCUGUGCCAGCAGCCGCGGUAAUACAGAGGGUGCGAGCGUUAAUGGGAAUUACUGGGCGUAAAGCGCGCGUAGACGGUUUUGUAAGUCAGAUGUGAAAUCCCUGGGCUCAACCUGGGAACUGCAUUUGAAACUGCAU